RNAcentral lists this long non-coding RNA (364 nucleotides) under Pseudonaja textilis. RNAcentral's name for it is "lncRNA (ENSPTXG00000002495.1)". The record is from RNAcentral. Lineage: Eukaryota; Metazoa; Chordata; Lepidosauria; Squamata; Elapidae.
GGGAGGGGCGUGGCCGAGCCCGGGCUGGACCCCUGACGUCACCCACUCCCGGACCGCGAAGCUGCAGCCGAAGCGGGGAAGCCUCGGGAAAGCCAGAUGGGCGUCCGUCGUCUUUCCUGCAGCCGGUGGGCGUGAUCCACCGCCGUGCCCAGGCCUCCGGCUCCCUAGCACCCAACCUUUGGGAGUCCCGCUGCUGUCGAGAAAAGCCCUGGAUUUCUCCACUAACAACAGCAUGCUUCUCACCACCUUCAUGGGCAGCAAUUUUAUUAUUAACGUUCCAAAAUGUGUGUCUUCCUCCAAGUUUAAGUCAACCAAAGUCAGAGUAGCAGUGGCUCAACUUCCAGAUGCAUCCACUUUACCAGGU